AGCAGACAAAAUGACAAAAUUGGAAUUGUUGAAUAUAUUUCUUACGAAGAGAUUAACCGCGGCUGCCGAGGAGAUAUUUGGGGCUGUGAAGGGUACUAUAGUUGAGUACCAGACAGAAAUCGUUCGCUCCAAGGAGGAGAACAAUCGUCUCCGAAAGCUGCUGGAUAUCGCUGUUCAGCGCGUUCUACUUCAAACAGGCCUAUGACCAGGGUAAAAAAACAACAACAGGUGGUUUGACACUUAAAAAAAAAAAAAAUUCAGUAAUGAAAUUAGAUGAGGAAACAGUGGGAAGGUCAGUGAGAAUGCUCUGCACAGGAAAUACUAAUAUUAAUGGUUGAUGGCAGUGGGUAACCAAAUCAUAGAUUGCAGUUUUGUCGUAGACUGCUUUCAAGGUAAGGACACACACAUUUAGUAUUUUGGUGAACUCUUUAAAAUAGUGCUGGAUGAAAAUCCUGCUUGCUCUCCUUGAUCUAUGUUUCCCAAAUG
Molecule: long non-coding RNA, 486 nt
Filed under: Salmo salar (Atlantic salmon)
Lineage: Eukaryota; Metazoa; Chordata; Actinopteri; Salmoniformes; Salmonidae
Description: lncRNA (ENSSSAG00000117616.1)
Source: RNAcentral